This 216-nucleotide ribosomal RNA is filed under the name Glomeromycotina sp. RNAcentral describes it as "partial small subunit ribosomal RNA". The stretch from base 40 to 216 matches the Rfam family "Eukaryotic small subunit ribosomal RNA", at positions 686 to 864 of the family's 1831-position model. Lineage: Eukaryota; Fungi; Glomeromycota. The record is from RNAcentral.
GGGUCAGUAGGUUGGUCGUGCCACCGGUACGUACUGGUCUCACUGAUUCCUCCUUCCUGAAGAACCGUAAUGCCAUUAAUUUGGUGUUGCGGGGAAACAGGACUGUUACUUUGAAAAAAUUAGGGUGUUUAAAGCAAGCUAACGCUUGAAUACAUUAGCAUGGAAUAAUGAAAUAGGACGAUCGACCCUAUUUUGUUGGUUUCUAGGAUUGACGUA